RNAcentral lists this long non-coding RNA (269 nucleotides) under Lathyrus oleraceus (garden pea). Its description in RNAcentral is "Pisum sativum (pea) long non-coding RNA (PSAT_LNC017202)". The record is from RNAcentral. Lineage: Eukaryota; Viridiplantae; Streptophyta; Magnoliopsida; Fabales; Fabaceae.
AAGACAUGACAUAUAUACUAAAACAUGUGCCCGGAUGCAAUAGAAAGCAUAUCAUAACAAACAUAAAACAGAUUGGAGAGAAAACAGCAAAAAAACAGCUACUGUCGCGAUCGCUAUUGCUUCGCUUAGCGAAGGCUUAGCAAAGCUUCGCUACAGGUUCGCUUAGCGAGGUGCUAGCGAGUGCCUGCGGGUUCUAGGUUCUUCUCUGGUAACGGUACAAUUUCAGAAACCCCAAACCCUAUGGUAUCCAUCUCAGCAAGGAAGUGAUU